RNAcentral lists this long non-coding RNA (358 nucleotides) under Sphenodon punctatus (tuatara). RNAcentral describes it as "Prostate cancer antigen RNA 3 conserved region 2 (ENSSPUG00000015292.1)". It matches the Rfam family "Prostate cancer antigen RNA 3 conserved region 2". The record is from RNAcentral. Lineage: Eukaryota; Metazoa; Chordata; Lepidosauria; Sphenodontia; Sphenodontidae.
UUGCAAAGAGCACUCUACAGUGUGCUGCCAAUGAUGUAUCAACACCCUAUGCCAUUAUUCCUUUCUAAAUGAGAUAAUAAUGUGAUCUGCUAACAUAAAAAAAGUUUGACUCCACAAAAUCAGCUGGAAAUGGACAACCACAAUAUGCAUAAAUCUAAUUCCUACCAUCAGAUGCACACUGUUAGAUAUAAACUGUUAAAAGGCUUUCUUUUUUCAUUUUUCCUAAGCAAAAUACUUGCUUUAGAAUUCAACGGUUGAAUAUCAGGAGCUUGUGAAGUAUUUACCUCUCAGUGGCAACCCAGAAUUUCUGUUUUUUAAUCCUUUAUGUUUUACAGGAUUUGCAAAAGCACUGGUGAUG